GGGAGUAGAUGGGUCCUGGUGGGUCCUCAGGGCUUCAAACCCUGUAUCGGGCGGUGAUCCUGUCCGGGGUGGGUUCGAUUCCCACAUACUCCCGCCA
RNAcentral lists this transfer RNA (97 nucleotides) under Bacillota bacterium. RNAcentral's name for it is "Firmicutes bacterium (anaerobic digester metagenome) tRNA-Sec". It matches the Rfam family "Selenocysteine transfer RNA". The record is from RNAcentral. Lineage: Bacteria; Bacillati; Bacillota.